UAGGGAAUCUUCGGCAAUGGACGAAAGUCUGACCGAGCAACGCCGCGUGAGUGAAGAAGGUUUUCGGAUCGUCAAACUCUGUUGUUAGAGAAGAACAAGGACGUUAGUAACUGAACGUCCCCUGACGGUAUCUAACCAGAAAGCCACGGCUAACUACGUGCCAGCAGCCGCGGUAAUACGUAGGUGGCAAGCGUUGUCCGGAUUUAUUGGGCGUAAAGCGAGCGCAGGCGGUUUCUUAAGUCUGAUGUGAAAGCCCCCGGCUCAACCGGGGAGGGUCAUUGGAAACUGGGAGACUUGAGUGCAGAAGAGGAGAGUGGAAUUCCAUGUGUAGCGGUGAAAUGCGUAGAUAUAUGGGGGAACACCAGUGGCGAAGGCGGCUCUCUGGUCUGUAACUGACGAUGAGGCUCGAAAGCGUGGGGAGCAAACAGG
This 429-nucleotide ribosomal RNA is filed under the name Gemmatimonadota bacterium. RNAcentral's name for it is "Gemmatimonadetes bacterium partial 16S ribosomal RNA". It matches the Rfam family "Bacterial small subunit ribosomal RNA", at positions 355 to 776 of the family's 1533-position model. The record is from RNAcentral. Lineage: Bacteria; Pseudomonadati; Gemmatimonadota.